UGGGACUAUCCCAUGGAUCCCACAAAGAAGACAGGCGAGAGUCCACCACUGGCGCACCUCCAAGGAGUUCUCCUUCUCUGCCAAGAUGCAAGGACUUGUCUCUAGGCAAUGAUGACAUUCACUGUGAUGCUAGCCAGACCUCACAAUCAGGCCUGGUGCCCUGAUAGCAGCGCAUGAGCAUUCAUGGGGCAGGCUCAGAAUACCAGCUGUCAGAGCUGUCAGCCUUCCUAAGCAGAGGAAAAUGGUACAGGCAGAGCUGGAUUAGUAUCGGGAAUAUGGCUGCUGGCAAAAACUCACUGAUAAAAUCCCAAGAUGAUGAAAGAGUGUCCCCUUGUGAUGUGAAGCAACUGCCAAGCUGGGAGCGGAAUUCGAGUGGGAGGUGAUUUGGACACCAGAGUCUUACAACCCAGCUCCCAAUUUACUAGAUUCAUAAUCCACAGAAAAGUAAAGAACGUGGGCCAUGCAGCCAAAGAAAACCCACAUAGGCCACCAAACGGAUGAGACUCAUAAUAAAGAAGCACUGAAGUGCAUUGGCCACAUUUUUUUAAGCUGACUCCACUUGCAGGCACACACACACACACACACACAACAC
This is a long non-coding RNA of Symphalangus syndactylus (siamang), 592 nucleotides long. RefSeq lists it as uncharacterized. NCBI's taxonomy places the organism in Eukaryota, Metazoa, Chordata, Mammalia, Primates, Hylobatidae. The record is from RefSeq and is a predicted model, not a curated record.